GUAGGUAGCAAGCGUUGUCCGGAAUUAUUGGGCGUAAAGCGCGCGCAGGCGGUUCUUUAAGUCUGAUGUGAAAGCCCACGGCUCAACCGUGGAGGGUCAUUGGAAACUGGAGAACUUGAGUACAGAAGAGGAAAGCGGAAUUCCACGUGUAGCGGUGAAAUGCGUAGAGAUGUGGAGGAACACCAGUGGCGAAGGCGGCUUUCUGGUCUGUAACUGACGCUGAGGCGCGAAAGCGUGGGGAGCAAACAGGGAUUAGAUACCCUGGUAGUCCGCGCCGUAAACGAUGAGUGCUAAGUGUUAGGGGGUUUCCGCCCCCUUAGUGCUGCAGCUAACGCAUUAAGCACUCCGCCUGGGGAGUACGGCCGCAAGGCUG
RNAcentral lists this ribosomal RNA (373 nucleotides) under uncultured organism. RNAcentral's name for it is "partial 16S ribosomal RNA". It matches the Rfam family "Bacterial small subunit ribosomal RNA", at positions 527 to 896 of the family's 1533-position model. The record is from RNAcentral.